CUACGUGCCAGCAGCCGCGGUAAUACGUAGGUCCCGAGCGUUGUCCGGAUUUAUUGGGCGUAAAGCGAGCGCAGGCGGUUAGAUAAGUCUGAAGUUAAAGGCUGUGGCUUAACCAUAGUACGCUUUGGAAACUGUUUAACUUGAGUGCAAGAGGGGAGAGUGGAAUUCCAUGUGUAGCGGUGAAAUGCGUAGAUAUAUGGAGGAACACCGGUGGCGAAAGCGGCUCUCUGGCUUGUAACUGACGCUGAGGCUCGAAAGCGUGGGGAGCAAACAGGAUUAGAUACCCUGGUAGUCCACGCCGUAAACGAUGAGUGCUAGGUGUUAGACCCUUUCCGGGGUUUAGUGCCGCAGCUAACGCAUUAAGCACUCCGCCUGGGGAGUACGGUCGCAAGAUUAAAACUCAAAGGAAUUGACGGGGACCCGCACAAGCGGUGGAUGAUGUGGAUUAAUUCGAUGCAACGCGAAGAACCUUACCUGGUCUUGACAU
This 487-nucleotide ribosomal RNA is filed under the name uncultured bacterium. RNAcentral's name for it is "bacterial SSU rRNA". It matches the Rfam family "Bacterial small subunit ribosomal RNA", at positions 501 to 987 of the family's 1533-position model. The record is from RNAcentral.